Non-coding RNA from Capsicum annuum, 108 nucleotides. The record is from Rfam. NCBI's taxonomy places the organism in Eukaryota, Viridiplantae, Streptophyta, Magnoliopsida, Solanales, Solanaceae.
AUGUUGGUGAUGUAGGCAAUCACUAAGAAAAGAUUUGAAACUCUCCCACGCAUGAUAUAAGUUUUCAUCUGGCUUUUGCUUAAAACUCAGAAUCUCACUAUGUAACCU